GCUGGGCCCUUGGGCCGAGAGGAAAGUCCGGGCAGCACGAGCCACCAUGCUUCCUAACGGGAAGGGGUCAUUAGGGUAACCGAAUGGCUACAGAAAGCGCCACAGAAAAGAAACCGCUCCAUGUGCGGGUGCCUACAUUCGUCGGCCUCUGUACAUGAAGCAAGGGUGAAAACGCGGGGUAAGAGCCCACGACGUGUUCCGGCAACGGGCACGAUGGCAAGCCUCAUGGGCUGAAAGACCAAAUAUACCGAUAGGCCGCAAAGCAGCGGGCUGGCUCGCCUGCAUUAUCGGGGGGUAGGUUGAUAGAGGCCGUCGGCGACGGCGGCAGUAGAUUGAUGAUAGAACACGACAGAACCCGGCUUAUAGGUCCU
This 371-nucleotide RNase P RNA is filed under the name bovine gut metagenome. Its description in RNAcentral is "Bacterial RNase P class A". It matches the Rfam family "Bacterial RNase P class A". From Rfam's summary of the family: Ribonuclease P (RNase P) is a ubiquitous endoribonuclease, found in archaea, bacteria and eukarya as well as chloroplasts and mitochondria. Its best characterised activity is the generation of mature 5'-ends of tRNAs by cleaving the 5'-leader elements of precursor-tRNAs. Cellular RNase Ps are ribonucleoproteins. The record is from RNAcentral.